GGAGGUGCUGGGGUUGUCGCUGACUUUUGAAAAUCGUCGUGCACACCUCGGUGCUCUCACAUACAAUCCAUCUCACCCAUCUUGUGCACCACCGCGUGGAGGCCCCUUUUGGCUAGUUCUAAGGGGGGUUUUCACGUUUUUAUACAUACACCAUUUUAAUGCAAUGCGUAGAAUGUCAUACUUUUGCGAUCACACGCAAUUAAUACAACUUUCAACAACGGAUCUCUUGGCUCUCGCAUCGAUGAAGAACGCAGCGAAAUGCGAUACGUAAUGUGAAUUGCAGAAUUCAGUGAAUCAUCGAAUCUUUGAACGCACCUUGCGCCCUUUGGUAUUCCGAGGGGCACACCCGUUUGAGUGUCGUGACAUYCUCAAACCUUCUUGGUUUCUUGACCAGGAAGGCUUUGGACUCUGGAGGUUCUUGCUGGCCUUACUUUCUUUGAACCCAGCUCCUCUGAAAUGAAUUAGUGGGAUCUGCUUUGCGGAUCCUUGACGUGAUAAGAUAUUUCUACGUCUUGGAUCUUGCACUGUUCACUCCGGAUCCUGCUUCUAACCGUCUCAUAGAAGACAAUGAAUGGGUCAAGUGAUUGCCACUUGGCCCACAAAACCUGACCUCA
RNAcentral lists this ribosomal RNA (614 nucleotides) under Russula sp. 2 BW-2014. RNAcentral's name for it is "eukaryotic LSU rRNA". The record is from RNAcentral. Lineage: Eukaryota; Fungi; Basidiomycota; Agaricomycetes; Russulales; Russulaceae.